GACGAUGAUGUCCAAUUUCCUGAAGUUUUGCAAACUCCAGUGCCAGUGCAGAUGACUGAAGAGGACCACUGCCCUCAGCAGAAAGGGGAUGUCCAGUGUCCUAUAUGUGGCAUAUCCUUCCCAGUCCUGCUUAUCGAGGAACAUGCUAGCCAUUGUGGCCAAAGAACUGAGGACACAACCUCACCUGAGAGGGAACUCCAUCCUGAGACAGAUGAUAUCUCAUG
Long non-coding RNA from Carassius gibelio (silver crucian carp), 224 nucleotides. RefSeq lists it as uncharacterized. The transcript has 3 exons. Lineage: Eukaryota; Metazoa; Chordata; Actinopteri; Cypriniformes; Cyprinidae. The record is from RefSeq and is a predicted model, not a curated record.